GAUGAAGAACGCAUCGAAAUGCGAUACUUGGUGUGAAUUGCAGAAUCCCGUGAACCAUCGAGUCUUUGAACGCAAGUUGCGCCCGAAGCCACUAGGCCGAGGGCACGCCUGCCUGGGCGUCACACGUCGUUGCCCCCCACCAUCUACUCCUUCGGGAUUGCGGGGGGCGGAUGAUGGCCUCCCGUGCGCCUAGCCGCGCGGUUGGCAUAAAUACCAAGUCCUCGGCGACGCACGCCACGACAAUCGGUGGUUGCGAAACCUCGGUUGCCCGUCGUGUGCGUUCGUCGCGCAUCGAGGGCUCGAAAAAAUGCUCGGCUCCGGCUCGGCUUUCAACGCGACCCCAGGUCAGGCGGGGUUACCCGCUGAAUUUAAGCAUAUCAAUAAGCGGAGGA
This 392-nucleotide unclassified non-coding RNA is filed under the name soil metagenome. RNAcentral describes it as "partial contains 5.8S ribosomal RNA, internal transcribed spacer 2, and large subunit ribosomal RNA". The stretch from base 1 to 122 matches the Rfam family "5.8S ribosomal RNA", at positions 35 to 154 of the family's 154-position model. The record is from RNAcentral.